GAUGAACGCUGGCGGCGUGCCUAAUACAUGCAAGUCGAGCGAACAGAUGAGGAGCUUGCUCCUCUGACGUUAGCGGCGGACGGGUGAGUAACACGUGGAUAACCUACCUAUAAGACUGGGAUAACUUCGGGAAACCGGAGCUAAUACCGGAUAAUAUAUUGAACCGCAUGGUUCAAUAGUGAAAGACGGUUUUGCUGUCACUUAUAGAUGGAUCCGCGCCGCAUUAGCUAGUUGGUAAGGUAACGGCUUACCAAGGCAACGAUGCGUAGCCGACCUGAGAGGGUGAUCGGCCACACUGGAACUGAGACACGGUCCAGACUCCUACGGGAGGCAGCAGUAGGGAAUCUUCCGCAAUGGGCGAAAGCAUGACGGAGCAACGACGCGUGAGUGAUGAAGGUCUUCGGAUCGUAAAACUCUGUUAUUAGGGAAGAACAAAUGUGUAAGUAACUAUGCACGUCUUGACGGUACCUAAUCAGAAAGCCACGGCUAACUACGUG
RNAcentral lists this ribosomal RNA (497 nucleotides) under uncultured bacterium. RNAcentral describes it as "partial 16S ribosomal RNA". It matches the Rfam family "Bacterial small subunit ribosomal RNA", at positions 28 to 507 of the family's 1533-position model. The record is from RNAcentral.